GGUGGAGCAAUUAAUCCACAACUCAGCCCAGGGAAGCAGACAGCAGAUCGUCAUUUCACUAAUGAGAUUGCUGAGCCGUGGCUCGGAGUGCGUGGGCCUGGCCAGGUGGAGACUUGAUGCUGGCAGGAGGGGCGUUAGAAUCCUCACCUACCUAAGCCUGUGGUGGAGCAAACAGCCCUGCGGGACUCAAUGCGUGUAACCCUUGGAUUUUCACCCAACAGUUCUGCAAGUCUCUUUCCUCAAAUAAACCAUCCCCCAUCUGCAUAAUAUGGAAGCUAAGUAGAUCGCCCACAAAGAAAAGAGAACAAUCCUGUAUAAAAUGAGGAAGCCAGACUAAAUAAUUCCAAAGUGUCUUUAGGCAAAUGCAGACCAGAAUACAGCAUACUGAAGAUGGAUCCUUCUAGACCCACUCCUUCUGCUUGUCUGGAAAGCCCAGGCCUGCCAGCAUCAGCGGCGACAUUUCAAUUCUGCCAGUUUGAUCAGACCACGUGGAUUUUCUCUCUCCAAUACACCAGCUGAUAAUGAAGAGACAAAUGUUAGCUAAGGCAGCCCUGGUCAAUCCCAAAGUCCUUAGAUGCAAAAGACAGGGAAGGUGCUAAUCAUCUCAGGAGGAGACCCCAGACGGGCUCAUUAAAACCAUUAUAAGAAAUCCCUAUCUCCCCCACCACACCUCCAAGGAAACCCUGACCCUGGUGAGUGAGCAGGGAUUGCAGGGGCUUCCCUUGCACCAGUUCUUUUGGCUUAGGAGGGAGGACAUGGCCCAGCUCACCCACCACCUGCAGCAGCAACAGCAGCAGCCAUUACCUUUGAAAUAAUCCUCGCUCGCACACCAAGUAUUUGUUAUGAGUCUGUGCCUGGAAGUAAAUAUCACUUCUGUUUAGGUGACCAUGUGUCCUGGGUUUCCCAGGACAGUCUGGUUUAUGCCUGUUGUGCUGACACACAUAUGAUUAGUACCUACUGCCAUGCUGAAAAGCGUCUUGUUUGGGCAAUAAUGUAUGUGGUUACCUAAGCUCUACCAAGUUGUUUCAAAACUGAUUGGAGGGAAAAAAAAAAAAAAAACCUAUAGCGCCACCAACAAUUAAAUUAUAAGAUUAUUUUUCCAAGAUCACAGUGACUCAAAGUUUUCCCUCAUAGAUGUUAUAUAUUUAGUUUGAGGUACUGGUGGGGAGGGGGUCGUAAAUGCAAUUCAGUGUUAUAAGAUUAGACAAGCAAGAAUGGUAUUCUGUAGCCUUACGAAAUCACAAACACAUGUCAGUCGUCAGUUUAACAAAGGAUCCUCUGUUUAAAAAUAAAAUGUUAUGCUAAAAACAAAUUACAUUUAAGUAAGUAUAUAAUUAUACUUAUUUUUAAAUGCUUUCCUAUGAAAAGAAAGGUUUUCCUGUUUUUUUAAUGAGAUACCAUUCGAUAAUAUAAAAUUAACCAUUUUAAGGUAUACAAUUCAAUAGUUUUUGGUGUAUUCACAGUUGUGUAUGACCAUCAAGACUAUCUAAUUCCAGAACAUGACCCCAAAAAGAAACCCCAUAGCUGUUAGCAGACAAUCCAAUUCCCUCUCCUUCAUCCCCUGGCAACCACUAAUAUAUUUUCUAUCUUGAUGACUUUGCCUAUUUUGAACAUUUCCUAUGAAUGGAAGCACACUGUAUGUGUCAUUUCAUGUCUAGCUUCUUUCUCUUAGCAUAAUGCUUUGAAGGUUAAUCCAUGAGGUAGCAUGUAUCAGUAUUCCCCUCCUUUUUAUAGCUGAAUAAUAUUCCUCUGCAUGGAGAUACCAGAUUUUGCAUGCCCAUUGAUCAGCUAAUGGACAUGUGGUUUGUUUCCACUUUUUUGCUAUUACAAAUAAUACUGCUAUAAAUAUUCAAUGUACAAGUUUUCAUGUGGACAUAUGUUUUCAAUUCUUGGAUAUAUACCUAGGAAUGGAACUGCUGGGUCAAAUGGUAACUCUAUGUUUAAUUUUUUGAGGUACUGCCAAACUGUUUUCCACAGAGGCUGGAUCAUUAUACAUUCCCACAAACAAUGAUUACGAGUUCUAAUUACUUCACAUCUUCUUCAAUCUUUCUUAUUUUCUUCAUCAUCAUCAUCAUCAUCAUCAAGAUCAUCAACAUCAUCAUCAUCACAAUCAUCAACAUGGCCAGCCUAGUAGGUAUAAAGUAGUACCUUACUGUGGUUUUGAUUUGCAUUUUCCUAAUGAAUAAUUUUCAUGUGUUCUUUCAUGAACAUCUUUUUGCAGUGGCUUUUUGUGUAUCUCCUUUGAAGAAAUGUCUAUUCACACCCUUUGCCUAUUUUAUUUUAAUUUAAUGAUUCAGUUGUCUUUUUGUAGUUGAGCUUCAAGAGUUCUUACAUAUUUUGGAUACUAAUCUCUUACAAAAUAUCCUAUAUACAAAUAUUUUAUCCUAUUCUAUGGGUUGCUUUUCACUUUCUUGGUAGUGUCCAUUGAUUCACAAAAGUUUUUAGUUUUGUUGAAAUCCAAUUUACCAAUUUUUUUCUUUUAUUGCUUAUGUUUUUGGUGUGACACUUAAGAAACUAUUGCCUAAUCCAAAGUCCUGCAGAUUUAUACCUAUGUUUCUUUCUAAGAGAUUUAUAACUUUAGAUUUUACAUUUAAAUCUUUCAUCUAUUUUGAAUUCCUUUUUUGUACAUAGUAUGAGGUAAGGGUCCAACAUUAUUCUUUUGCAGGUGGCUAUCCAAUUGUCCUGGCAACAUUUAUUGAGAAAUUUCUCUCCCAUUUGACACCCUUGUUGAAAAUCAAUUGACCAUACAUGUAUGUAUUUCUGUGUGGACUCUCAAUUCUAUUCCAUCGGUCCAUAUGUCUAUCCUUAUAUCAGCACUACACUGUAUUGGUAACUGUGGCUUUGUAAUAAGUUUUGAAAUCAGGAAGUGUGAGUCCUCCAACUUUGCUCUUUUUUUUUUUUUUUUUUGAGACGGAGUCUUGCUCAGUAGCCCAGGCUGGAGUGCAGUGGUGCGAUCUCAGCUUACUGCAAGCUCUGCCUCCCAGGUUCACACCAUUCUCCUGCCUCAGCCUCCUGAGUAGCUGGGACUACAGGCACCCACCACCAUGCCUGGCUAAUUUUUUUUUGUAUUUUUAGUAGAGACGGGGUUUCACCAUGCUAGCCAGGAUGGUCUUCAUCUCCUGACCUCGUGAUGCACCCGCCUCAGCCUCCCAAAGUGCUGGGAUUAAAGGCGUGAGCCACCGCACCUAGCCCUUGCUUUUUUUUUUUUUUUUUUUUUUUCCAAGAAUAUUUUGGCUAUCCAAUGUCCCUUUCAUUUUCAUUUGAAUUUUAGGGUCAGCUUGAAUUUUAGGAUCAGCUUGAAUUUUAGGGUCAACUGCAAAAAAGCAGCUGGAAUUUGACAGGAUUGCAUUGAAUCUGUAUAUCAAUCAGGGGAGUAUUCUAUUUUAAUAAUAUUAAGUCUUCCAAUCCAUAAACAUAGAAGAUGAUUUCUUUCAAAACUCUUUUGUAGUUUUCAAUGUAUAGGACUUUCACUUCCUUGGUUAAAUUUAUUCAUAACUAUUUUAUAAUUUUUGAUGCCAUUUCAAGUGGCAUCACUUUCUUAAUUUCAUGUUUGGAUUUUUCAUUGUAAGUGUAUAGAAAGACAACUGAUUUUUGGAUAUUGAUCUUAUAUCCUACAACUUUGUUGAACUCAUUAACUCUAAUAAUGUGUGUGUAUGUAUGUGUGUGUGUGUGUGUGCACGUGUGUGUUUCUUUAGGAUUUUUUAGAAAAUCAUGUCAUCCACUAAUAGAGGUAGUUUUAACUUCCUUCUUCUAAUCUGGAUUCUCUCUUUCUCUCUUCCACUUCUCUCAUUUCUAACUCUCUUUCUCAUCUAAUUGCCCUGGCUAAAAUUUCUAGUAAAAUGUUGAAUAGAAGUGGUGAGAGAAAACAUCCAUAUCAUGUUUCUGAUAUUACAGGGAAAGCUUCCAGUCUUUCACAGUUAAGUAUGAUGUUAGCUGUGGGUUUUUCAUAGAUGCCUUUUAUUAGGUUUAGGAAGUUCCCUUCUAUUUCUAGUUUGUUGAAAGUUUUUAUCACGAAAGGAUGUGAGAUUUGGUUAAAUCCUUUUUCUAUAUCUAUUGAGAUGAUCACAUGGGUUUUCCCCUCUUCAUUGUAUUAAUAUGGUAUAUUGCAUUGAUUGACUUUCAUAUGUUGAACAAACUUUGCAUUCCUGGGAUAAAUUCCCAUUAGCUAUAAUGUCCAGCCCUUCUAAUAUGCUGUUGGAUUCUGUUUGCUAGUAUUUUGUUGAUAAUUUUUGCAUUUAUAUUCAUAAGAGAUAUUAGCCUGUAGCUUUCCUUUCUUGGGAUACCUUUUUCUGGUUUAAGUAUCAGGGUAAUACUGACCUCACAGAAUGAGUUAGAAAGUGUUCCCUCUGCUAUUUUUUUGGAAAGAUUUUGAGAAGGAUUGGUGCUAACUUUUCUUUAAAUGUUUGGUAGAAUCCAUUGAUGGAGUCAUCUGGUCCUGAGCUUUUCUUUGUUAGAAGUUUUUUCUUGCUAACUCAAUAUUUACUUUUAUAAGUCUAUUCAUGUAUUCUAUUUUAUCUUGAGUGUCAGUUUUGGUAGUUUUUAUAUUUCUAGGACUUUGUCCAUUUUAUGUAGGUUAUCCAGUUUGCUGGUAUAUAGUUGCUCAUUAUAUUCUCUUAAAAUCCUUUUGUAUUUCUGUAAAAUUGGUGGUAAUGCCCUUCUCUCAUUUUUUAAUAACUUUACUACUUUCUUUUAUUUCUCUUCAUCAGACUAGCUAAAGGUUUGUCAAUUUUGUUAAUCUUUUCAAAUAACCAACUUUUGGUUUUGAUGAUUUUUUUUCUAUUAUCUAUUCCAUUGAUCACAACUCUAAUCUUUAUUAUUCUUUUCUUCUGUUUGCUUUAGGCUUAGUUUGCUUCUCUUUUUCUAGUAACUUAAGGUGGAGUUUAGGUUAUUGAGUUCAGAUUUUUUUUAUGUAGGUCAGGUGUCAUAGUGACAAACUAUCUCAAUUUUUAUUUAUUUGGAGGUUUCUUAACUUCUCAUUCACUUUUGAAGGAUAAUUUUGCAAGAUACAAAAUUCUUGGUUUACAGUAUUUUUUUUUUUUCAGCACUUUGAAUGUCAUCACACUGCCUUUGGCCUCCAUGGUUUGUGAUGAGAAAUCAGUUGAUAAUUUUACUGAGGAUUUCUUCUAUAUAAUAAGUUGCUUCUCUCUUACUGCUUUUGAGAUUCUCUAUUCGUCUUUGAUUUUCAACAGUUUGAUUAUGAUGUAUCUCAGUGCAGAUCUAUUCUAGUUUAUCUUACUUGGAGUUCAUUGAGCUUUUUGUAUGUAUAGAUUGAUAUUUUUUAUCAAAUUUGCAAAGUUUCACCAUUAUUUCUUCAAAUCAUGGUUCUACCCCUUUCUCUCUCUUCUCUGAGACGCUCUUUAUGGGUGUAUUGAUGGGCUUAAUGUCCUCCGGUCUCCUAGGCUCUGUUAAUUUUUCUUCAUCUUUUUCUUUCUUGUUCCUCUGACUGGAUACUCUCAAUUUACCUGUUUCAAGUCUUCUCAUUCUUUCUUUGGUCUGUUCAAAUCUUCUGUUAAGCCCCUCUAGUAAUUUUUUCUUUUAGUUAUUCUACUUUUCAAUUCCAAAAUUUCUAUUUGGUCCCAUUUUAUAAUUUAUAUCUCUUUAUUGGUAUUCACUAUUUGGUGAGGUAUUGCUCUCAUAACUUAACUCUUUAGACUUAGUUUCAGCUUUUUGAAUAUAUUUACAAUAGCUGAUUUAAAGUCUUUGUCUAGUAAUGAACUCGUUUUCACUUUCUCACUUUCUCAAAGACAGUUACUGUUGAUUGCUUUUUUUUUUUCUCCUGGUAUGUGCCACUGAUGUUUCUUUGCAUGCUUUGUAAUUUUCUAAUUGAAAAUUGAAGAUUUUGAAUAUCAUAACCUGGGAAUCAGAUUCUCCCUCCUCUCCAUGGUUUGCUAUUAUUGCUGUUAUUUUAUUUGUUGUUUAUUCACUUUUCCGAAUUACUUCCAUAAAAUCUGUAUUCUACGUCAUGUGUAGCCACUGAAUGCUUAGUUAGCUUAGUGGCCAAUUAAUAUUUGAAUAGAAAUAUCCUUCAACACUUGGAACUAAUAAAUCAUCCACUCCUAGCCAAGGGGCUCUGUGUCCAUUGUGUGUGGGGGUGGGAGGAUACCUUCAACACUCAACCAGGCAGUUUACUACUCAGCCUUUGCCUUCACUUCCUGAUUAUGCGUAGCCUAAUGGCCAGCCAGAGUUAAGAGACUGGGGCCUGCCUGCAUUUUUCCUGAGUGUGUGCACAGCCCUGGACAUGUGAAUGUUCUUCUAAAAUCUUAAGAACAUGUAGGACCUUUUCAAAGACCUUAUUCCCUACAGCAUGUCAUUCCCUAGACUUUGCUUCCAAGUUUUUUGGCUAGUCUAUUGUUUCCCCCAAUUGUUAUCCAUUGCCUUAGACAGUAGAGAAGAAUGUUUAGACCGUGCUCCCUUGGGAGCAGCUUAGUAUAAAGCAAGUUCUCAGUCAGGAGAGAUAAAAACAUGUGUCUAGUAGCAUGUCUUCAAGGCAGCCACCAGAUAGAUCAAAUUAGAAUUUUCUGUAAAUAAGGUCCAUUCUGCUCCCUCAUAUGCCUGCACUGGGAAUGUGGGUUGUUAUUUCAAGGCUGCUGCUGAGCUGGGGAUUGGAGUAUGGGAUUCAGAUAAGUUAAGACACCACAGUUUUGCUUUUUUCAUUAAGAAUUGACUAAGGUUUUUUGUUUUUGUUUUUAAAUAAAUGCUUCCCAGAGUACUUCAAGUAUUUGGUUACAUUCCAGAGUUCUGAAAAAGCACAUUCUGAUGGUUAUUGCCACUUUUUUUCUAGCUUUUAUAGAAGGGUGAACUUUUGGGAUUCCUUAUUCCACCAUUUUCUCUGACAUUACUUGUUGUUUUGUUUUGUAUUUUCAUAAAGGGGAUUUCAAAGAAACCUGCAAAACUAGUUCAGGCCAUGAUAGGAAGGAAC
RNAcentral lists this long non-coding RNA (6919 nucleotides) under Homo sapiens (human). RNAcentral describes it as "HSALNT0221064". The record is from RNAcentral. Lineage: Eukaryota; Metazoa; Chordata; Mammalia; Primates; Hominidae.